Molecule: ribosomal RNA, 458 nt
Filed under: uncultured bacterium
Lineage: Bacteria
Description: partial 16S ribosomal RNA
Rfam family: Bacterial small subunit ribosomal RNA
Source: RNAcentral
GAUAAACGCUGGCGGCGUGCAUGAGACAUGCAAGUCGAACGAAGGAUCGGGCUUGCUCGAUCCUUAGUGGCGGACGGCUGAGUAACGCGUAGGUGACCUACCCCGAAGUGGGGAAUAACUGCCCGAAAGGGUGGCUAAUACCGCAUGUGGUCGCACGUUCAUUCGUGCGAGUAAAGCCGCAAGGCGCUUAGGGAGGGGCCUGCGUCCGAUUAGCUCGUUGGUGGGGUAAUGGCUUACCAAGGCGACGAUCGGUAGGUGGUCUGAGAGGACGAUCACCCAGACUGGGACUGAGACACGGCCCAGACUCCUACGGGAGGCAGCAGUCGGGAAUUUUGCUCAAUGGGGGAAACCCUGAAGCAGCAACGCCGCGUGAGGGAUGAAGGCCUUCGGGUUGUAAACCUCUUUUGUCAGGGACGAUGAUGACGGUACCUGGCGAAUAAGCCACGGCUAACUACGUG